GGAUGUGAUCAUACCAGCACUAAAGCAUCGGAUCCCAUUACAACUCCGAAGUUAAGCGUGCAUGGGCGAGAGUAGUACUAGGAUCGGUGACCUCCUACGAAGUCCUCGCGUUGCAUCCC
This 119-nucleotide ribosomal RNA is filed under the name Oryza punctata. Lineage: Eukaryota; Viridiplantae; Streptophyta; Magnoliopsida; Poales; Poaceae. The record is from RNAcentral.